UACGAAGGGAGCUAGCGUUGUUCGGAAUUACUGGGCGUAAAGGGCGCGUAGGCGGUUUAGUAAGUCAGAUGUGAAAGCCCCGGGCUUAACCUGGGAACAGCAUUUGAUACUGCUAGACUUGAGAUCGAAAGAGGAGAGUGGAAUUGCGAGUGUAGAGGUGAAAUUCGUAGAUAUUCGCAGGAACACCAGUGGCGAAGGCGGCUCUCUGGUUCGAUAUUGACGCUAAGACGCGAAAGCGUGGGGAGCAAACAGG
RNAcentral lists this ribosomal RNA (253 nucleotides) under uncultured bacterium. RNAcentral describes it as "partial 16S ribosomal RNA". It matches the Rfam family "Bacterial small subunit ribosomal RNA", at positions 524 to 776 of the family's 1533-position model. The record is from RNAcentral.